CCUACGGGAGGCAGCAGUGGGGAAUAUUGGUCAAUGGGCGUAAGCCUGAACCAGCCAUCCCGCGUGCAGGAAGACGGCGCUAUGCGUUGUAAACUGCUUUUCCAGGGGAAGAAAACCUUCGACGUGUCGAAGCUUGCCGGUACCUUGGGAAUAAGCAUCGGCUAACUCCGUGCCAGCAGCCGCGGUAAUACGGAGGAUGCGAGCGUUAUCCGGAUUUAUUGGGUUUAAAGGGUGCGUAGGCGGAUUGAUAAGUCAGCGGUGAAAACCUUCAGCUUAACUGGAGAAUUGCCAUUGAUACUGUCAGUCUUGAGUACGGUCAAGGUAGGCGGAAUGUGUAAUGUAGCGGUGAAAUGCUUAGAUAUUACACAGAACACCAAUUGCGAAGGCAGCUUACUGGACCGAUACUGACGCUGAGGCACGAAAGCGUGGGGAGCGAACAGGCUUAGAUACCCUAGUAGUC
This 460-nucleotide ribosomal RNA is filed under the name uncultured Bacteroidota bacterium. Its description in RNAcentral is "bacterial SSU rRNA". It matches the Rfam family "Bacterial small subunit ribosomal RNA", at positions 338 to 795 of the family's 1533-position model. The record is from RNAcentral. Lineage: Bacteria; Pseudomonadati; Bacteroidota.